Cucurbita moschata (crookneck pumpkin) is the source of this 829-nucleotide long non-coding RNA. RefSeq lists it as uncharacterized. The record is from RefSeq and is a predicted model, not a curated record. Lineage: Eukaryota; Viridiplantae; Streptophyta; Magnoliopsida; Cucurbitales; Cucurbitaceae. The transcript is spliced from 2 exons.
AACAGGAACCGAAUGAUAUCAUCUCCCCACCGCCACCGCUCAAAUUAGGUAGAAAAGUUACUCUGUAUUCAAAGCAAUUCAAUUCCUUCUCUCAUUCUUUCCGUUGGCGGUCUUUCGAUGCGGUGGUCUAAUCCCGAAGCAAGGCAAGAAGUAGCUGUGUUUGGAGAUACUGUUGCUCAAACAUGUGUCGCAAUAAACUGCACCCACUACCGAGAUUCGAGCGACCGACGCUGGGGUUUCAGCUGUAAGGCCAAACAAGUUAGCAAAGAAAGAUAGUAAAAAAAGGAGGAGAGAAAUGGUUGGAUCCAUAAGAAAGACUGAAGGAGGGAGGAGGUUGAGCAUCAAUGGGUAAGUCCUUAAAAUUUUGAAGCGUUUGUUUGCUAUAUACUGUUUGCAUAUAACGUGCCCGUGAGUUCUUGGUGUUAGACCAACUGUAAUGAGAAAAGAGAAAAUGAUUAUUGUAUUCACUACAAACAAAGACAUGUGAAGAAGGUUUUUGGCUGAAUGUGGGGGCAAGCGUAAAAGGAAAGGGGUUUGUAGUUUAAGUCUUUUUAGGCAGAUUCGGAGAUAAAUGGGAUUGAUUAAAAGGGUGUUUGAUUUCCUAGAUCUGGAAAGAUGUUAUGAACAAGCCUUUCUUGUUUCUACCAGAUGUUAUGAACAAGCCUUUCUUGUUUCUACCGACUGUCCAAUAAAUGGAACUUCCAUUGUCUUUAGCACCCAAGAAAGGCCGUGAAAAAAGAAGAAGAAAUGUGGAGCCUUGUUAGGCAAUUUCAUAGACUUCAUUAGGAACUGCAGUGAAUAAAAUAAAAGCUCCGGUUGAUUAGGAAAA